CGAGGUGGUGUCUGGCUUAAAGAGAGAGGGAUUAGUGAGAAAAUAAGUGCGUCCAGGAAAGUUAUGCCAACCAUCAGCGCGGUCACUCCAGCUGGUCAUAGGUCGCUGUGUAUAAAAGGGCAGCGGCGUGUUGAGGAGGCAUCAUCCAGCGAAGGACGAGGCAGACACAAGGAGGUUCAGACGAAUACCAAUAGUAGAGACGAUGUUUGCUCUUCGCUCCUUGGUUGUGGUGGUGGUGGCGCUGAUGUCCCUGGUGUGUCUGGCGGCGUCUGCUCCAGGGGUACCUUACAACAGACCUUAUGGCGGUUAUGGCCACCAAGGGGGUCAUUUCGGAGGCCACAACAGCGGCUUUGGUGGCAGCUUUGGUGGCAGUUUUGGAGGCAGCCAUGGUAGCUACCACCGCCCCUCCCAUGGCCACAGCAGACCAAGCUACGGAUAUGGACGGUAAGAUUGUUUCCUGACGCUGGCACGCUUCCUCCCUGACUCCAGACCCCGACACUCCAUAAUCUAUCUCUCCCGAAAGCUUCACUCACUGGCAGCCUGAAUGGGAGCCGCGCUGAGACGAUGGUUCUCUUUCAUUUUGUAUCUAUAGACUAAGUGUUUUGGUGACGAGAUGAAUAUAAUAAAUUUGUAAAAACUUU
Molecule: long non-coding RNA, 641 nt
Organism: Portunus trituberculatus (swimming crab)
Lineage: Eukaryota; Metazoa; Arthropoda; Malacostraca; Decapoda; Portunidae
Exons: 4
Source: RefSeq, a predicted model, not a curated record